CCUACGGGUGGCAGCAGUGAGGAAUAUUGGUCAAUGGACGAAAGUCUGAACCAGCCAAGUAGCGUGAAGGAUGACUGCCCUAUGGGUUGUAAACUUCUUUUAUGUGGGAAUAAAAUGUUCCACGUGUGGGAUUUUGUAUGUACCAUAUGAAUAAGGACCGGCUAACUCCGUGCCAGCAGCCGCGGUAAUACGGAGGGUCCGAGCGUUAUCCGGAUUUAUUGGGUUUAAAGGGAGCGUAGGUGGCUUGUUAAGCCAGUUGUGAAAGUUUGUGGCUCAACCGUAAAAUUGCAGUUGAAACUGGCAGGCUUGAGUGCAGGAGAGGUGGGCGGAAUUCGUGGUGUAGCGGUGAAAUGCUUAGAUAUCACGAAGAACUCCGAUUGCGAAGGCAGCUCACUGGACUGCAACUGACACUGAGGCUCGAAAGUGUGGGUAUCAAACAGGAUUAGAUACCCGUGUAGUC
RNAcentral lists this ribosomal RNA (460 nucleotides) under uncultured bacterium. Its description in RNAcentral is "partial 16S ribosomal RNA". It matches the Rfam family "Bacterial small subunit ribosomal RNA", at positions 338 to 795 of the family's 1533-position model. The record is from RNAcentral.